This 840-nucleotide ribosomal RNA is filed under the name bioreactor metagenome. Its description in RNAcentral is "bacterial SSU rRNA". It matches the Rfam family "Bacterial small subunit ribosomal RNA", at positions 8 to 822 of the family's 1533-position model. The record is from RNAcentral.
AGAGUUUGAUCCUGGCUCAGAAUGAACGCUGGCGGCGUGCUUAACACAUGCAAGUCGAACGAGAAAGAGAUUGCUUGCAAUCUUGAGUAGAGUGGCGCACGGGUGAGUAACACGUAGAUAAUCUACCCCUAAGCCCGGGAUAACCAUUCGAAAGGAUGGCUAAUACCGGAUGCAGUUUCUGCGCACAGGCGCAGAGAUGAAAGACUGCCUCUUCAUGAAAGCAGUUGUUUGGGGAUGAGUUUGCGUACCAUUAGCUUGUUGGUGGGGUAAGGGCCUACCAAGGCUGUGAUGGUUAGCUGGUCUGAGAGGAUGAUCAGUCACACUGGAACUGGAACACGGUCCAGACUCCUACGGGAGGCAGCAGUGAGGAAUUUUGCGCAAUGGGGGCAACCCUGACGCAGCAACGCCGCGUGAGUGAAGAAGGCCUUUGGGUCGUAAAGCUCUGUCAACCGGGAAGAAGUUAUGCAGAAUGAAUAGUGCUGCAUAUUGACGGUACCGGUGGAGGAAGCGCCGGCUAACUCCGUGCCAGCAGCCGCGGUAACACGGGGGGCGCAAGCGUUAUUCGGAAUUAUUGGGCGUAAAGGGCGCGUAGGCGGUUCUGUCGGUCAGAUGUGAAAGCCCGGGGCUCAACCCUGGAAGUGCAUUUGAAACAGCAGAACUUGAGUACGGGAGAGGAAAGCGGAAUUCCUGGUGUAGAGGUGAAAUUCGUAGAUAUCAGGAGGAACACCGAUGGCGAAGGCAGCUUUCUGGACCGAUACUGACGCUGAGGCGCGAAGGCGUGGGUAGCGAACGGGAUUAGAUACCCCGGUAGUCCACGCAGUAAACGAUGUUCACUAGGUG